Molecule: long non-coding RNA, 21707 nt
Filed under: Coffea arabica (coffee)
Lineage: Eukaryota; Viridiplantae; Streptophyta; Magnoliopsida; Gentianales; Rubiaceae
Description: long non-coding RNA (CARA_LNC002314)
Source: RNAcentral
UUUUUUUUUUUUUUUCAGUUUUUGACAUACUACUUAUAUUUUGCUGUUUGGAAAACUAAAUAUAUUAUUCCUAGUUUCAUAUCAAGUACUUCUGACAAAUUGCCAUUGGAGAUUUGAGUCCGGCAAUUUUUAGUCAAAUACUUUGGUUUUACUUACCAAUUCAAGUGAGAUGGAUAAAUUUCAUAUUUACUAUAUUUCUUGUUGAUUUCUCUAUGUUGAACUUUAGUUUAGAAACUAUAUCAUCUUUGUAAGCACCAAACUACAAAAUCAAAUAGUAAUCCUUUAUGUUUUUCGUAUCUCUUUGCUAAAGAUCAAUGCACUUACUUAUUUUACAUGUAAAAGUUUAAUUGCCAAAACUUGCAUAAAAUAUGUAUGGCUAGAUUUGAAAAAAGUUCUUGUAGACGAAGAAAAUUUAUUUAAUUUAUUUAAUUUAUUUAGUCAGGAUUUAUUUAAAUUAAAUCGAUCUUGAUUAAAUUAAAUUAAAUUAUAGAAGUCCAUUAUGUUUUGGACUGGCAAAUUGGGUCAAUAUUAUAUGAGCUAUUAAAUCAAAUUAAAUUCAUAAUGUCCAUUUAAGUUAGAGUGAAUUGAUUGCUUUAUUAAUUCACCAUGGACCAUUUGGGUUGGCCCACUAUUUAAACCCAAAUUAAAUGGAUUUCUUUACCCAAAAUGCAGGAAGAUUUCUGGAGGGUUUUCUUGAAGACUUAGCAUACAUAUUUUGGCUAUAAAUAGAGGUCUUCUCUCAAGGCAAAGAUAGACGAGAAAAUUUCAUAACUUUCGAAGAAACUCUGUCAAAUUUUCCCAAAGAGCUUUCUUCCUCCAAUUCAAGUCCAAAUCAAGUCAAACAAAUCCUCCUGCUAUCGGUGUUGAAAACUUAAAGUUCCAAGUGUUUGACGCCAUCAUCAAAUCAAUCGUUUUUUACGUCGAAAUUGUAGAAAACACCCUUUCGAUUGGAGAACAAGUCUUUUCGACCCUUCAAUUGAAGCUAUUCGAAGAAAAGAAUCAGGGGAUUGAUUUCUUUGAUUCAAGAACUUUCAGAGAUUGUAACCCGCUUAUUAUUUGAUUUAAUCAAUUUGAUAUUUGUGCAAGUUUUCUUGUCUUUUAUUUUAGGCAACAAAAUUUGUACUUACAAAUUUCUGGCACGCCCAGUGGGACUAUCUCUGCCUCUCAUCUCUUUUCUUUCAACAACUUAUCAGUUUCAAAAUUCAAUGGAGUUCAAGAAGGUGAACUUUUCUCUUGAAGGCUUAGUUGCUGAUGUCUCAACCACUCAAGAGACGCAGUAAACUGCACCUCUGACAAGGAGUAAGGCCAAGAAAUUAGCAGAGAAGCCAAGGCGAACAUUGUGAUUGAAGAAGCAAACCUCAAGAUGCUUCCCAAUAAGAAAGGAGCCCAUGAUGAAUCUAUUGAUAGCCCAAGUGAUUCGGCUGCCUCUGUGGUGAUGCCCGUCAUGAUGACCAAUAUCGCAACUGUGGAAGAUCAGAUUUCAAAUUUAGCCAAAAUUGUCGAAGGGCUAGUAGUUUGUCAAGAUGCCAAGAUAGUCAAAUUAAUGGCUAUCGUGGAAAAUAUAGGCGAAAAUAGCCUUAGUAUGUCUAAACAGAAAUCCAAAGUGCAAGAUGAAAGUGACUCAUCAUCAAGGGAGAAGGAGAAAGAGGAUGCGAAGUCACAAGCCACGAAAGAAUUUUCAAUCUCCCCUGAUGGCACUAUUCAUGUUGAUAAUCUGAAGAAAUUUAUCGAAGGCACCAUCAAAGACAAGAUUGGUGGAAGUGCCAAGUCAUAUAGCGGUUACACCAAACCUUAUACCGCUAGAGUGGAAAGUUUGAAGAUGCUCAUGGGAUAUCAAUCUCCAAAAUUUCAACAAUUUGAUGGCAAUAGCAACCCUAAGCAGCAUAUUGCACAUUUCGUGGAAACCUGUAACAAUGCUGGCACUGAUGGUGACUUACUCGUUAAGUAGUUUAUUCGCUCGCUGAAGAGUAAUGCCUUUGAUUGGUACACAGAUCUGGAGUCUGGAACCAUUGACAGUUGGGAGCAGCUAGAACAUGAAUUUCUUAGUCGCUUCUAUAGCACAAAGAGAACUGUCAGCAUGACUGAACUCUCUAAUACACGUCAAUGGAAGAAUGAACCUGUCAUUGAUUUCAUCGACCGUUGGAGGAAUCUAAGCUUAAAUUGUAAAGAUCGAAUUUCUGAAUCUUCUGCGAUCGAGAUGUGUAUUCAAGGUAUCCAUUGGGGACUCAGAUACAUCUUACAAGGUGUACAACCAGAAACGUUUGAUGAAUUGUCCACAAAAGCCCACAAGUUGGAAAUUAAUCUUGAUGAACAAGAACCGUCAGUUCCUGACCCUCACAAGGUCAAAGAGAGAUAAGAAGCGAGGAAAGGGGGCAAGCCACCAUUCAAAAAUGAAAAGAAGGAGGCUAUGGCUACAAGUAUAACACCUUUUAAGGUCGUUCCCAAAACUGUCAGGAGAGAAGAUAGGAAGAUCAAUGCACAUCAAGAACAAGGAAAGAGGAAACCGAUUCUCAAAGAGUAUCAUUUCCUUGAUUCUGAUGUCCCUGGUAUGUUUGACGAUCUGUUAAGUAUAAACUUGAUCACGCUUCCUGAGAUGAAGCGACCCGAUGAGGCCAGGAACACUGACGAUCCAAAUUACUUUAAGUAUCACCGAUUGGUUGGGCAUCCCAUUCAAAAAUGCUUUGUCUUCAAAGACAAAGUAAUGAAGUUGGCGAGACAAGGAAAAAUUCUCCUUGAAGAAGACAAGGCAAGUGUGAAUCAAAUGUCCAUUGAUUCUCUGCAGUCUAUGGAGAUUAAAAGGGUCAUGGUCGGUAUUGCCAAUAAUUCAAUUUGGUUCGUUCGAUCCCAUAGAAAUCGAACAAGAAGGUACUCUUUCAACUCUUCAGGAACAUGUCUAUGAAGAUGAGAAGGCAUUACAGCCCGAUGUGGAUGAUGAAGGGUGGACUUUAGUCACGCGAAGAAGGAGGCGAUAAUCUAGUAAGGUGAACAAGGCCUUAACAAGAAGUCUGGUCAUCUGGAAGGGGAAAGAGAAGAAUGUAAAGAGAAACAAUGAUUGUCGCAACCUUCAAGGAAGUCGAAGCUGCAAGCAAAAGUUACGAACUCCUAUCACUCUUAAAAGUGUUCAUACCAAAAGAAUUCUUUGAUGUUGAUGUGGUCGAGAGUCACACAACCUGAGUAGAUCAUGUCAAAAAAUAAAAAGAUAAUACUUGCGAAUCUCUCUGUAAGAUAGCCUGUGUGCCUACCAGCAAUGAAAGAGGUCAUGUGCCCGCUGGCAAUGAAGAAGUGAAUGUCACAAGUAUCACUUUCACUAGUGAAGACUUGUUGCUUGGGUCAACACCGCAUAACCGCCCUUUGUUUGUGACCGGCUAUGCAAAUGAACAAAAAGUGAAUAGAAUUUUGAUAGAUGGAGGUUCUGCAGUCAAUAUUCUUCCCUUCAAGACUCUGAAGGAGCUCGGCAUCCCGGUUGAUGAACUCUUCAACAGCCGAUUGAUGAUUCAAGGUUUUAAUCAAGGAGGGCAAAGAGCUCUUGGAUCACUAAAUUUGGAGAUAGUCAUUGAUGACAUGUCAUCCAGAGCCCUGUUGUAUGUGAUAGAUGCUAAAACAACAUACAAUGUACUACUGGGAAGGCUCUGGAUUCAUGAAAAUGGAGUUGUACCAUCAACUCUUCAUCAAUGUUUCAAGUACUGUCAAAAUGGGGUAGCAAGAAGUGUGAAAGCCGAUGACAAUCUUUUCAUUGAGGCGGAAGCGUAUAUCGCUGAUGCCAAAUUUUACAUCAAAAGGCACAAUGCGAAGGAUAAGUCUGAGCAACCUCUAUCUGUGGAUAAAAUCCAGAACCCCAAAUCUCCGAGUGUAAAAGGGAAAAAACUGAUAAAUUCGAAGUCAAAAGAGGAAGUUCAUGAAGAAACUGAUGUUUCAUUGCCAAACAAUGAAUCAGUUGUCUUUCGUUACCCUUCCAAGUCAAGAAUGAAACAGGAACAGUCACCUGUAAUUCAGCAUAACGCUCUAAGAGAUUUGACUUUUCCGGUAGUUCAUCUUGAUACAAAGAAGGCUUCGUUUCCUCCAUUUAAAAGGUUUAACCUUUUAAACAAAGAAUCUGAAGCCGAACAAGACAUCAUACCAAAGUCAAGAACCAAAGACGAUUUUGAUCCCAUUGCUUAUAAACUUCUCGCUAAGGCUGGAUAUGAUCUCAAAGAAUCUGCUAUGUUAAAUGUUCCAUCUCGUCAAUCUACUAGUGACAUGAUGCAUGGGUUGAAUCCUACCCAAAAAAUGUUGAAGGAAAAAGGAUAUGCCACUGAAAAUUCCAAAUUUGGUCUUGGCUAUUCCUCUCCUACACCAAUCCGCAUCAAGAUCAAUAGAGCUAGUAGUCAAUAUAUUACUGUGGAGGAUGAGUCUUCUCAAAUAGCUGGUAAAUUUCAAACUUUUCACGGAAAGGAGAAUAAAGAUCCACGGGUAUCUGUUUUUAAGAGAUUAGGACCGCAAAGAAAAUAAAAGCCUCAAAACUCUCAUAGGAGUAAAGAAAAAAUGGCAAAAUCAUUGCAAAAUCUUGAAGAAUCUUCUGAUUGUCCUCAUAAAUUUGGUAGCAUCAUUUUCUCGAGAAUGAGAAGAUGCACAGACCUUAUAAUAAAGUGUGGGACUGAAUUAAGGGUCAGGGAGCAUACUGUGGUGUACACAAGACCAAAAGAGAAUGAUGAGGAGAGUGUUGCUUCAUGCAAUCAUAUAACCCUAAUUGGCGGUGACUCUCCUGAAGAAGAAGAAGAUGCUGAAGACGCUCCACCUGAAUUGGAAGAAGGUGUUAAGGCUACUGUGAAAGAUCUAAAGGAAAUCAAUCUUAGUACUUUAGAGGACCUGCGUCCAAUAUACGUAAGUGCUUUAUUGAGCCCCGACAAAGAGAAGGCAUAUAUUGAACUUUUGCGGGAGUAUCAAGAUAUUUUUGCAUGGAUUUAUAAAGAAAUGCCGGGUUUAGACCCAAAAAUGGCCGUCCACCAUUUGGCUGUUAAAAAGGGAGUUCGACCUGUGAAACAGGCACAACGGAGGUUUAGACCCGAUUUGAUUCCGUUGAUCGAAAUUGAAGUCAAUAAACUUAUUGAACCCGGGUUUAUUCGUGAAGUUAAAUAUCCCACAUGGAUUUCGAGUAUCGUGCCUGUGCAAAAGAAGAAUGGACAAAUCCGCAUCUGCGUCGACUUCAGGGAUCUUAACAAUGCUUGUCCCAAGGAUGACUUUCCUUUAUCGAUUACUGAACUCAUGAUUGAUGCAACUACUGGACAUGAAAUUCUGUCAUUUAUGGAUGGCUCUUCAGGAUAUAAUCAAAUUCGACUGGCACCUGAGGAUGAGGAACUCACUGCAUUUCGUACUCCUAAGGGUAUUGAUUGUUAUAAAGUAAUGCCCUUUGGUCUAAAAAAUGUUGGAGCCACAUAUCAAAGAGCAAUGCAAAACAUCUUUGACGACAUGCUUCAUAAAAAUAUCGAGUGUUAUGUGGAUGAUUUAGUCGUUAAAUCAAAGAAAAGAAGUAAUCACUUGGAGGGCUUGAGACAAGUUUUUGAUCGAUUGAGAAGGUAUCAACUCAAAAUGAACUCUCUCAAGUGUGCAUUUGGAGUCACGUCCGGAAAAUUUCUUGGUUUUGUGGUUCGCCAUCGAGGUAUUGAAAUUGAUCAGGCCAAAAUUGAUGCUAUAUUGAGAAUGCCUGAAUCUCGUAACAUUCAUGAAUUGAAAAGUCUUCAAGGGCGAUUAGCUUAUCUGCGAAAAUUUAUCUCAAAUUUGGCAGGAAGGUGUCAACCAUUUAGUCGCUUGAUGAAGAAAUAUGUGCCAUUUCAAUGGGAUGAGACAUGUAGUAAUGCAUUCAAUAGCAUUAAGUUUUAUCUUAUGAAAGCACCUGUUCUGGCUGCACCUAUUCAUGGAAAGCCAUUACUUCUUUACAUUGCUGCUCAGGAACGCUCAGUGGAGGCAUUGCUUGCACAAGAAAAUAAUGAAGGAAAAGAGGUUGCCCUUUAUUAUUUAAGCAGAAUGUGACCCCUAAUGAACUAAAUUACUCGCCGAUUGAAAAGUUGUGUUUAGCUCUUAUUUUUGCAAUACAGAAGUUAAAACACUAUUUUCAAGCACAUAGUGUGAGGCUCAUUUCUAGGGCGAAUCCCAUGAAAUAUGUGAUGAGCAGGCCAGUAUUAUCCGACCAUUUAGCUAGAUGGUAUCUCCAUCUACAACAGUUUGAGAUUAUUUAUAUGCCUCAAAAAGCUGUGAAAGGACAAGUUCUGGCGGAUUUUCUUGCUGAUCACCCUAUACCUGCUGAAUAGGAGUUAAGUGAUGACCUACCAGAUGAGGAUGUACUCCUUAUUAAGAUUCGCCCACCAUGAAAAAUGUAUUUUUAUGAUGCUGCACAUCGUCAUAGGGGUGGAGCGGGGAUUGUAUUCAUGACUCCUGAUGGAGGGAUAUUGUUAUACUCUUUUACCCUAAAUCAACAUUGUUCAAACAAUGUCGCUGAGUACCAAGCUCUCAUACUCAAACUUGAAAUAGCUGUUGACAUGGAGCAGUUGGAACUUCAAAUCUAUGGUGGCUCUCAAUUGGUGGUUAACCAACUCUUGGAAAGUUAUGAAGUCAAAAAGUUCGAAUUAAUUCCGUAUCACAAAUAUGCAACACGACUUAUGAAGCGGCUUGGAGGUGCAAGUAUUAAACAUGUUCCUAGAAGGGAAAAUAAGCAAGCUGAUGCAUUAGCUGUGCUAGCCUCUUCACUUGCCAUGCCGGAUCAUGAGAUACAAGUUCAUGUAUGCCAAAAGUGGGUAGUUCCAUCACUAAUUGAUAAUGAAAAUAUUGAAGGAGGCGACGCUCAUGUGGUCUCAACCUGUUAAAUUGACAAAGAAAAUUGGAGACAACCUCUCGUUCAUUAUCUCAAGUAUCAAAAAUUACCUGAGUAGCAACGUAGGAGAACUAACAUCCGUCGUCGUGCCUCUUGUUUUAUCUUGUACAAGGAUACGCUGUACCGAAGAUCAUUUGAAGGUGUACUGUUGCACUGUCUAAGCGAAGACGAGACAUAUCGGGCGAUGCACGAGGCACAUUCUGGAAUAUAUGGAGCUCACCAAUCCGGUCCCAAGUUACAUUUUCGGAUUAAAAGGAUGGGCUACUAUUGGCCUACUAUGGUCAAAGAUUGCAUAGAAUAUGCUCAAAGAUGUCAAAUUUGCCAGUUUCAUGCAAAUUACAUUCAUCAACCACCUGAGCCGUUACACCCGACCGUUGCCUCUUGGCCUUUUGAUGCUUGGGGCCUUGAUGUUAUGGAGCCAUUACCAAAGUCGUCUGGUCAACACUUAUAUAUAUUGGUUACGACCGACUACUUUUCUAAGUGGACUGAAGCCAUACCGCUCAAGCAAGUUAGAAAAGAAGAUGUGAAUUUUAUUCGUGUGAAUAUUAUUUACCGUUAUGGAGUUCCUCGAUACAUUAUCACUGAUAAUGAAAAAUCCUUCUCCAAUACCUUGAUGGAUAAGUUGUGUGAAAAAUUUAAUCUCAAGCAAUGCAAGUCUUCCAUGUAUAAUGCCCCCGCCAAUGGUUUCGCAGAGGCAUUCAACAAAACUUUGUGUAAUUUGUUGAAGAAAGUGGUGGCCAAAUCAAAAAAAGAUUGGCACAAAAGAAUAGGCGAAACUCUUUGGGCCUAUUGUACCACAUACCGAACUCCAACGCAAGCCACACCAUAUGCCUUAGUCUAUGGUGUAGAAGCUGUUCUGCCCCUUGAGAAAUUCCUUCUUUGAGAAUUGCUAUCUAAGAAGAGCUCACGGAGGGAGAAAAUGUUCGCCUGCGCCUUGAAGAAUUGGAAGCUUUAGAUGAAAAGAGAUUAGAGAUCCAACAAAAUCUGGAAUGCUAUCAAGCUCGUCUCUCUAGAGCCUUCAAUAAGAAAGUUCGGCGCCGCUCCUUUCAAGUUGGGGACAUGGUACUUGCCGUUCGAAGGCUAAUAGUUAUGACUCAUCACACUAAGGACAAAUUUGUCUCUAAAUGGGAUGGGCCAUAUAUUGUUCGAGAAGUCUAUACAAAUGGCGCGUAUAAACUGGUGGACAAAGAUGGUGUAAAAGUUGAUCCUAUAAAUGAAAAAUUCAUGAAGUUAUACAUGCCAUAAAAAAAAUGAAGCACUCCAUGACGCAUGAGUCUAAACUGCAUGUUGCUCCAGACCAGCAUGAGCUAAAACUGUGGACAACAACCACCAAUAGUGUAGCACGUGGUUAAACUGCUGAAACACUCCACCAAAUCUAAGGUGGUAAACAAAAGGAUACUCCUGACCCGCAAGAGUUUAAACUGUGAACGGUAGGAAUUACGUGUGACUUGAUUCCCUUUUGGGAUACGUAGGCAGUUUAGAAGGUAUCUUCUAAAUUCAGUUACAACCCUAUAAAACUAAAGUCUUUGUCUGGAUGAUUCUUUUGAUAAAAAAAAAGAGAACGUUCAUCUUUAGGACAGUUCGAAUUAUUUUGUGACAUAUACUUGAAAGUGUAUUAUUCAGAUUACCAAAUUAUUUGGAUAAUUACCUUUUCAGGUGUGAUCAAAAUUAUGCAAAGGUGAAAUUAUUCAUACUAUGGUUGAUAGCCUAAAAUGGUGGCUAUCGAAAGAGUAAGUAAGGACGAGGGCGUCUGCAAGAAUGUGAUGAAAAGAAAAAAAAUCAAGUUUCAUUAUGAAGUGCUUGUACUCAUAGCUACACGCUUUGAGCAAUUAACAAAAGAUGAAAUUUGAAACAAAGUAAAAGAUUGCAACUAUUCCUAAAAUUCAAAUGAUGACAGCUUGUUUUCAAAUAAUACUUGCAUCUUGUCCAAAGUUUGACUCUUCUCAGCAAGUAGGGGAGGGGAAUUCUCAAUUUUUCGAAUUUCAUUUUAUAAGUCGACCAUCACGCCUUGCACCCGGGUAAGUUCAUCUUGCUCUUCUCGUAGUAGUGAAAGCGUCUCCUCCUGUGAGUAUCCAAGCACUCAAGUCGCUUCUUCAACAUUACUUCCUCACGAUCAAUCUCCUUAAGUUUCAACAUGUGCAUUGAGAUCUUUUUCGCUUGUUGUUUCUCCUUACUCUGAGCAUCUUUAAGAUGUCGAAUGGCCGUAGAAAGUAACUCAUCAUAUGAUUCAGUUGAAAUUUUAUUUGAGAGAGAAGAUUUCACUGUCACGUAACGAGCUGCAUUUGCAAAGAAAGUCUUUAAAAGGCCUUGCAAAUUUGAGAUAUCCGUGGCAUUAAAGCUUUGCAUUUCCUCCAUGAUCUCAUUGGCUUUCAUUUCAAGAGCAGGCAUGCGCUCUAAGGCUGUUUGAGAUAUCAUCAUCCUCAAGUUAUUCCACAACAUUUGGAUAUAGUCUCGGCGACAUGUUGAAAUCACACUUUGGGGGCAAAAUUCAGACACUUCAGGUGCCCUUAGCCACGAUGGUGGAUCGAAAACAGUUUUCUUUUGGCCGAUGGAGUCAUAUGCUCCGCCUUCUGUGCCAUGAUUUGCUGAGUCACAUUUUCAUCCUCUACUGUCUUUUUGGAAUUCUCACUAGCACCUUUUUGUUGAGUAGAACUGAUCACUUGUUUGGCCAAAAGUUCAAAUGCAGUAGGUCCUUCAACUGAUACUUGACUUGGUUCUCCAUCAUCAAUGAAGAUCAAGUCUUGAUCGUCCAACUGUAGGGAAAAUGUUGUGAGACAAAUCAUGAAUAUGAAAUUAACAAAAAAAUUUCAAAUGCUAGAUUAAAGAAGGCAGGGAGGGUCCUUACAAUAUUGGCACGGCUUAUACCAGGCACAGAUAUAUUCGGAAUGUCUUUAAAGAGUUCUUUAGGAUCUAAACCAAUAUCAUCCAAGGGGAGAGUCAUUACCUUGGACUUCUUGCGUUUUCAAUGCUGAUCCGUGCUGGUGGAUUGCUCAUCCUCCUCAUUAGAAGGCUCGCUCCACUUCUUCUCAUGUGAACUGCAAGAAUUAUGAUCAAUAGCCUUCACAAUGUUUGAAAGAAGAUAAAAUGAAGUACCCUUCGAAAAUUCUUCAUUAGGAGUAAGGUUCUCAGGGAUAGUAGCCUUGUUGUUUGAACUCUUCAAAAUUUCUUUCUCACUUCUCAUAGUCUUUUGCUUCAUCUCAAGACUAUUGCCAACCUUGGAAGGAUUGUUUAGGUUUGCAAGUUCCUUCCCUUUCGACUUCUUCUGCUCCCCAUUUGAUUGGACACUCUUAAUCAAAGUAUCACACCCUUUGAGGAGAUGAUCAUCAUGCACCAUAGCCCACCAUGUUUGAAAGCCUGAAGAUGUGUGUUUGCUAACAUUCAAGGGAUAGCUAAGGAAAAGUACCUUUGACUCUGUUUUACUGCGAAUGGCAGUGCGCCAGAGUAUUCGACUCAAGUCAUAACUUGUGAAACGAACAUCUGCCUUGAGUUCCUGUGGAGGAACUUGAUAAAAACCGAAUUUCUGCGCAAAUCUAUAUGGACUAUAUGGCUCAAUAAGGAAAUCCCCUUCAGCAUGCAAAACUAAGUAAUUUGAGCAGGCGCUUACAAAAUAAUUUAGUUCGAGAUUUGCUAAUUUGUCAUUGUCAAUGAAAAGCUCAUUGCGAUUUUUCACAAGAGAAGUGAUUCCCCAAGUUGCUUUGUCUCCCUGAUGAAUGAGGUCACGAGCACUAUUUUCAUCAAAAUACCGUGCGCCACCUUCUCCAGAAUAGUUGGUCAUGGUGGGUCCAGGCAUGGCAUUUGGAGUCGAAUAAUGGGUAGAGAAAUAAUUCGCUAACCAAGCAUGUACAUAGUGCACCGGAAAAGCAGCACGUGCACACCCUGGAGUAGGUGAGUUUGAAAUAUUGUUAAGCCCACGGUAUAUGUUUAGCAGGACAGGAACAGCAAGGCAGGUCUUACGACCGGCAGCCAUCGUACUAGCCAUUUUGAAAGUAGAUGGUCUAAUAUGAUGGAGCUCCUCAUCUGGUAAAGCAAAGACACAGAGCCAACAAGAUAUAAAUGUUGCAAGAUAGGUCUCUUCCCGCAAGUGGAGUUUAACUCCGAUGGUGUCAAAUACGCCAUUGUCUUGACUUGAAAAUUUGCGUGGUUGUCCAAUUUCGCCAUCCGGAUUUUGGGUCGUUUGAGCACGAGAUGCCCUCUUUAUCCUUCUCUGCUUUGGCUUUGAAUACCUGAUUUUGCCUUUAAACCAGAACUUAAUCCAUUGGGCAGUAGAAACUCCAACUUUGUUGGAUUCCUCAUGUUGAAGAUGAUGUAAGGCUGCGAACAAAUAUUCGCAACUUUGUGGAAUAUGCCUUAAUUUCUUCUCAUUUACUCCAGUUAGCUCCUCCGCGCAUGGGAUUAUCUCUUCAUAGAUACCUCCGAUGAUUGGAAGUCCUCCUAACUUGUGCAGGUCCCAAAGUGAGAGAGACAAUUCCCCGACAGAUGUAUGCAAGGUAUUAGUGUCCGAGCACCACGUCUCGCAGAAUGCUCUAAGUACAUGGGGAUUCCUAUCAUAUGUGAAAAGUGAAGCAUAUAAGGCGUCAAACAAGUAAUUUGCACGGAGCACUUGUUUGCUCCUGCCGAGAAUAUCCUCCAACCACUCCCAGUAAUUCUCGAUGUAACUGAAUGCACCAUUAAGUCUCAAGGAAGGACCCCAGUGUGCACCUCCGUCUAUGAUCCGCCUGCCAAGGGUUUGAAAAGGAGUUGUCCUUGGCUCCUUAUCAUGAAUAAGGGAUUUUAAGGAGUGAACCUUUGUGCCAUCAUCUUGAGAAAGCUCGAGUGACCAAUCCUUCAACUCUGGGUACUGGUGAGAAGGCCACUUACCCGAGUAAGAUCCUUGUAUAGGGGUAUGCACCAAUAAUUUCGUUCUUUUGUCAUCAGAGUCGUCAUGACUAUUGGCGAUAAGGAGGUACCUUUCGUUUGAAGUGGUAACUUCCUUGAAUAUUGCCAUUUCGUCAAGGCUAACCUGCAUAAAAAAAAGGGGUUACGAUGGUGCGAUCAAAGAUAGUAAGUGAAGUACUAAGUCGUUAGAAUAGGAUAAAUAAAGAGAUUUCUAGGGCGCUGGUAAGCUCUUGUUGAGGUGGACAUUUGCGCCUCCUUUAUAUACUCCUCAAGCCAUAAUAUGGCUCUCGUGGGAGUUUGCGGUUGCGCCUUCUUCAAAUCUUAGUCGCACCUUCUUCACGUACUCCUUAAGCCAUAAUAUGGCUCUCGUGGGAGUUUGCGGUUGCGCCUUCUUCAAAUCUUAGUCGCACCUUCUUCAUGUACUCCUCAAGCCAUAAUAUGGCUCUCGUGGGAGUUUGCGGUUGCACCUUCUUCAAAUUGAGGGUCCACCGUGUGUGUUGUCGCAAAGGAUCCUCUUCUCAUAUCACAAAAAAAUAAAAUAAAAUUGACAUUGACAAGAAAUAAAAGCCAUAAGGUAUGUGAAUUACCUUAGCGUUUUGACCUCCAAGAGCUAUGGUCCUAAAAUUGUGGACACAAUUGGAACGUCAAUUUGCUUCAAACAAGCUAUGCCAACGUCAACUGCAAAAAAAAAAAGAAAAAAAGAAGUGACGUGUGGCAUGCAAUGGCGGGACAAGUUCUUAUGGUGGGCCAUGCUUAUCUUUAAUAUCAAGUACGGCAUUAUUUAGUCACUGUGGUGGGUGAUGUUCCCUUCUUAUCACACGAAGUCAAAAAAAAAAAAAAGGAGGAAGAAAAAUCAUCAACGACAAAUCUUGCCUUGCUUCGCAAGAACAGACAUUCAAGAGAAAGACGUGGCGUGGGGCAUGUGUUGCUCUAACCAAUUAACAUCAGCAAAAUUGCAUGCAAAUAACUUCAAUUGCAAUUUAAAUAAAGAAGCAGUAUGGACCUGGCCGCGAAUCAAGAAGGCCAUGGUAUGCAGCAAUGGAAAGAAAAUGUGUGCACUUUGCAUGCAAGAGAGUAAUUAGAGCUUAAAGUUUCUUGGCCCCGAAUUCAAUUGUUAAUCUAUGCCCAUUAAAUUUCAAAAGAGCAUUUAGAUGUCAACAAUUUGGGGACACUAAUAAAACCCGAGUUCGAAAAUUUCAAUCCUACAAGCAUAGCAAUCAUUGAUUAUUUUAUGAAAGUUUGUCCGCUUAAUUUGAGGCAACAAACUGUCACCUAGUUUCACUGGAAGACAAAAUUUCAGUUUGGUUCAUGGCUCAAUUCGGCGAAUUUCGAUUCGGCAAAGUGACUUAUAGAGACUCAACAUUUAAGCAAGAGUGAAGAUGGGUGAUACCUGAGUAAUGCGAGGCCUACUUGUGGUGAAGGCUAAUAUCUUGGUGCUUGCAACCCGAGUUACUUGGAGUUAUGUGGAAGUCAAGAAUGUUUAUAGCUUGGUGAUUCAAUCUUGAAGGCUUUUGUGAUCACCGUAGGCUUGAUUUAAGGUAAGUUGAUGAUUUCGGAAACCAAGGUUCGAUGCAUGUUUUCGGGCAAGUUCUAGUUGUUUUAAAAAUCGUGCAACUUGGAAAUACGAGUUCGAUAGCUAAUUUAGAAGUUACAUGUUGACUUCAAAGAAUUUAUAAUGGAGCUAGAAAGCUAUUGAAACUCGCGAACCUAAGUUGAUUAAUUGGUUUUGGCAAUUCCAGAUUAAUGAGCAGUGAUUGCGUGGAAAAGGUAAUUGCCUAGGUGUUGGUUUGAGCAAUUACUUUUUCUUAGCAACAUAAAGUUUGGACAUCUAAUGGUUUGCCGCAUCAUGGAAUAUGGAAAUGAUUGAAAGUGGUAUCUUUCUAAUUCUCUUGGAAUCAAUUGCAAGUCAAAAGGGAAGUGGUCUUUUGAUUCCUUAAAGGUUGAAGCCACGGGAAUCAUUAUUCUAUGCCCAAAUCAACUUGAGUACAAAGCCACACCACGAGAAUUUUAGCAACUUGGAUCCAAUUUCCAAACGAAGCAAUGCCAAAGGAAUUCCAAAUUGCUCAGCUUCAAGACGAAAAAAAGAAAAGAGAAAUGAAUGUAACUUGGAUCCAAUUUCCAAACGAAGCAAUGCCAAAGGAAUUCCGAAUUGCUCAGCUUCAAGUCUGCCACAUGUAAUUUUGAGUGCCGAAGUGUGAAGACAUUUCCUAAUCUUUGCACCACGUUUCGGCUCUCUAAAGUGGAAGUUUCAUGAUAAGUAUUGAAUGAGAAAUUUCCACCGAACAAAUUGGUAGCCAUGCUUUGAUUAUUAAAUGUUUAGGCGGUGCAAUGGUCAUAGAAGGACUCCUAAUGCAAAUAAAGCAACAUUGAAGUUGCUUAAAGUGAAAUUAAAUGAACAGCGCCUACUAGAACUUCCAGGUGAAGAAUGUCUAUGGUGCAAAGUCUUCGAGGGACACGGGACCAUUCUUGUCGGAAUAAAAUCGAUUGGAACGUUUGAGCUUUAAUGUUUGGUGUCUUUAAUGUAUUGCAACUUUAAGUUAAUGGUAGUCACUUGGACUAGUCUCCAAUGGAAUUCCAAAGACCAACAGAGCAGCAAUUCGGGCAAUACAAUUGGCUUUGGCAAUUGCCAAGCCAUUGAGUUUCGAGACUAAUUGCAACAAUUGCAUUGUAAUGACAUGGGGAAUAAUCCUAUGCAUCACACUUUGCCGUAGACCACAUGUAAUUCGUGAAUGGUGUAGACUUUUUUUAUGAUCUUCGAUCACAUGUAUUAACCCAGGCUCUUGUUGCUCGCCCACCAAAUCGGCAAAGGAAUUGGCUUCUUGAAAAAAAAAAAAUCAAGUACUUCAAGUCUCAAUUACAUCCUUGACAAGCAAGUCCCAAUUGAGUCUUGAAGUGGGGGCAUUUGUAGACGAAGAAAAUUUAUUUAAUUUAGUCAAGAUUUAUUUAAAUUAAAUCGAUCUUGAUUAAAUUAAAUUAAAUUAUAGAAGUCUAUUAUGUUUUGGACGGGCAAAUUGAGUCAAUAUUAUAUGGGCUAUUAAAUCAAAUUAAAUUCAUAAUGUCCAUUUAAGUUAGAGUGAAUUGAUUGCUUUAUUAAUUCACCAUGGACCAUUUGGGUUGGCCCACUAUUUAAGUCCAAAUUAAAUGGGUUUCUUGAGUUACAAGUUACCCAAAAUGCAGGAAGAUUUCUGGAGGGUUUUCUUGAAGACUUAGCCUACAUAUUUUGGCUAUAAAUAGAGGUAUUCUCUCAAGGCAAAGAUAGUCGAGAAAAAUUCAUAACUUUCGAAGAAACUCUGUCAAAUUUUUCCAAAGAGCUUUCUUCCCCCAAUUCAAGUCCAAAUCAAGUCAAACAAAUCCUCCUGCUAUCGGUGUUGAAGACUUAAAGUUCCAAGUGUUUGACGCCAUCAUCAAAUCAAUUGUUUUCUACGCUGAAAUUGUAGGAAACACCCUUUCGAUUGGAGAACAAGUCUUUUCGGCCCUUCAAUUGAAGCUAUUCGAAGAAAAGAAUCAAGGGAUUGAUUUCUUUGAUUCAAGAACUUUCAGAGAUUGUAACCCGCUUAUUAUUUGAUUUAAUCAAUUUGAUAUUUGUGCAAGUUUUCUUGUCUUUUAUUUUAGGCAACAAAAUUUGUGCUUACAGUUCUAAACAAGAAUGAACAUGAUGGAAAAGAUAAACUCAAAGGAAAUGAUGCAAUGAGACAAGGUAGAUGCAGAACCUUUUUCUACCAAACUUUCAGGCAACCCUUCCUUUACCUCUCUCCAUGUGUAGCUCAGUUCUUCAGGUUUAUAAGCUUGUUCUAUUUUUUGGGAAACAUCACAAGAUUAAGAUGCCAAAGCUGUACUCUUUAAACCAAAAAUGACUGAGCAUUUCUGUACCUUUUGCAUUCUAAACCCUGCUUGAAUCAAUGCAAUCAACUAUCAAAUUGGUAUUUCACAAACUAAUGACACGUAAGAACAAAUGAGUUUUUGUUCAACUAAACCAAAUUUGGAGUCUAAAUUAAAACAAUUAAUUUGAUAUGAAAAGAGUAAAAUUGUAUUGUGCAAGUUGUAUGUGUUAUACAACAAUAGUUGGUCAUGUAAAUCAGUAGUGAAAAUAAUGAUACUUGUGAAGAGAAGAAGGAAUAUUGUGGUCGAUCUAAGAAGUGGCUGAGCACAAAAAACAAAAAAAUGUAGCUGAGGAUUCUUUUUUAUUCUUUUAAUAACGUAAUUUGUCAGAUUAGACUUAUGACUUUACUUAAUGAUAUAGCAUUAACAUCUCCUUUGUCCCUAAUGUUUUAUCGUAAUUAUCUGAAAUAAAAAGUCUAUAGGAUAGACAACUAGCGAAAGCCAAAAGCUCUUUCUACGUAUAUUCUUCUAGUCCUCGGAUAUGUGAAUGUUAUAUAUAAUCUUGCAAUCACUAGAGCUAGAAAGUUAUUGUAAAUGAAUUCAAGGAGAAAGUAAAGAAAAAGAAGUAAAAACAAGUGUAGUUAAAUCAGGAACUUGGUAAUUAAAUAUUAAUGCCCCAAUGAAAUUUUGCAAGUUUCACUGGAUUAAAACUUUUUAAAAAAAUGUUUUCUCCCCAUUUUGUGUAUAGGACAAUUUUCUAGCUUCCUCUUUUGUACUUUUCCUUCAUUUCCUUCAUUAGAAGAAAUGUUUCCCUCCUAAAUAGAGAAUUAGAGCCAAAGUUAGUCUUACAAUCAUUUAUUUAGUUAUACCAAAUUUCUUUUGAAUUCCCUCCUCCCAAUCUGCUGGAAAAUAGUUUAUUUUUUCCCUCUUAUAAAGAUUAUGUCCCUCCUAAAUUAAUAGAGAGUGUCGCUUAUUGGAGCCAAAGGUCAUAGAAAAAAGCCUCUUAAUAGUCAUAAUCAAAUUGACCAAUUUGAUUACCUCCCAAAUUACCCAUGUCAAUUAGUUUUACUUCCUCUUUUUUUUUUUUUUAUAAAUAUUAAUUCCUUCUUAAAUUAAUUGAGAAUAUUGCUUAUUGGAGCCAAAGUUCAUAAGAAAAAGUCUCUUUUAAGUGUCAAAAUUAAGUUCUUAAUAAGACAGUAGAGCUACUUUUAAGUGUCCAAGUGUGCAAAAUCCAGUCAUGGAAAAGCCCCUAUUAUCCUUCGUUUAUCCAUUUACAUUUCUUGGCAGAUGGAGAUGUUUUGCUCCAUGGUUGUUAGCUUAUGACAUUUGAUAUUUUUGUCUAUACUAUACUAUUAGGCUGCUAUGGAUUAAGGGAUUUGAUGAAAGAUUUAAUUUCACUCAAAUCUUUCUAGUUGUUUAGAUUACUUAGGAGGUAUUUGGAUGUAAAUCAUUAAUUAGUAUAGUAUUUAAAAUGUAUUUAGAUAGUUGAUGAAUUACAAAUCCAAAAUAUCACCUAAACAAUUUAAACAAUUCAAACAAUUUGGAUAGAUUUCAAAUAGUUCAUAAAAUUUCUCAAUCCAAACUAAGCCUCCUAUAAUUUUGUGAAUACUAUGUUGAUAUUUGUUUAUAAGAUACGGACAUAUAAUCCAAUGGAGACUUAUGCAAGAGAAAUAGCAAUGUCAUGAGGUAAGUCCUUUUUUCUUUUGUUGCUGUAAAACAAGUAAUUUAUAUGUGUUUAGCAAUUUUUUUUUGUUCUUUCUACAUAAAAUACCAUAAUCAACUUCCUUCACGGUAUUCAAUUAUAUCUAUGUAUAUUUUUAGUUGGUUUGGUACUCUUAUAUAUAAUUACAUGUUGACAACUUAGGUUCGUGAGUUUUAUGGAUCAAGUUAGUAGCCAAACAAGCCAAAACUCUCGAACUUAAACUCGAACUUAUCCUUUAAAUAUACUAAAAAAAUGUCUUCAAAAUAAAAAUGUUUGUUCGUUCAAAAUCAAAUGUCUGUUCGUUUACAGCCAGAUAUCCGUCACUAAAAAUUUUCUUCACAUAUUUUUAGUUUGUUUCAGUACUGGCUCCAUUUUGCUUUACAAACAUACAAAUCUAGUGUACAGCACUUGGGAUCCUCGGUGACAUGUUUUCUAUGCCAAUCCAAUACCACCUAUAAUAUUGUGCCAAGUGUCCUAUUAUUAUUUACACUUGUGUUAAACCAAAUCAAGUUGAAUUAUUAAAAAAUUAAAGUGUAAAUAAUAACAGGACACUUGACGCAAUACUAUAGGUGACAUUGGAUUGGUAUAGAAAAAUAUGUCACCGAGGAUUGGCAAUAAGUGUACAGACAUAUAUUAAUAUAACUGCAAAAACUUGGAUGGGCCCGGUCUAUGAACGACUUAUGGACCCUGUGGAUUUUAAACAGCCAGUCGCUCUUUGUAACCAAAGUUAAGCAGAGUUCCGUUCUUGUCUGCUUCAACAAAAGGAAUGAAAACGAAAAGGCCGUAAAGAAACCUAGCUUUGGAGAAAUAAACCCAACUAUUCUCCAGAUUUAAAUUUUCUCCUCAUUCAUCAAGUUUCUUCUGGAAAGCAAUAGAAGAGAGUUUAGGCAAAUUAAAUUACAUAAAUUAGAUACUUCUUUGGGCUUUGCUGUGUUUAUGGAGAAGAUCAAUUAGAGGGAGAAAGAAAAAAAUAAAAACUUUGAGAGAUUGUGAAGAAACAAAAUCGUCAAGGGGAAUGCAGAUUGCCAUAUGAGAUACUUCCAAGUGAGUAUCACAAAGAUGUAUACAUAAUUAUUUACACAUCUAAUAUUUCUUAUGACUUUGCUUCCUUUUUUUUUCAUCAAGAGACAAAAUUUAGCCUUUUAGCAUUAGUAAUUGCAAGGCCCCCCACGGAUCUCGUUAAUUUUGCAUCAGAUCUAGUUACAAGAUUAAUAAUUAGUUAUAGUGUAUUUUCUUCUGUUUUGAUUUUGCUUUGAAACACAAGAAAAUUUUAUCCAUUAAAAAGGUUCAACUUAUGUUCUUUUUCUCUUUGAUUUUUCCUUUUUUCAGAUUAUGAUAGUGAGAUGAAGUUGUCAAUCCGGCAUGAUGAAGAUUGAGUAUGCACGGAAAGACUCUUCUGGACAAAUCUUAGAAGACUUUGUUGCAUCAUAAAAUUGUAAAUUUUGAGGAUUUUUUUUGGAAAAAUUAUUCAAAACGUCCCUUAUAUUUUAUAAAAUUAUUUUUUUGUUCCUUAUUUUUAAAAGUGUAAUUUUGGUAUCCCUUACAAAUUCAUAUUGGUUAAAUUUGGUCCCUACCUAAAUCUCUAACUAAUUUUUGAUCGGAAUCCACCAUGUACCUUGCACGUGAUCAUUUUUUAGGGGAUAAAUUGUCAAAUCACAUUUCACAUAAUCUUAUUCAUAGUCUCCCAUAUUUCAUAAAAUAAUUUUUUGUAUUCCUCAUAUUUCACAAAAUGAGUUUUGUCAUACCUCACAUUUCACAAAAUGAAAUUUUCAUCCCUCACUAAUAGCUUUAUUGUAUUUUGAUGCCAUAUUCUCAAUUGCACAUGGUGGAUUAGGCAAAAAAAACUAGUCAAAAAUCUAUUUAAGGACAAAAUUUGACCAAUAUAAAUUUGUAAGAGACAUAAAAUUACACUUUUAAAAGUGAGGAACGAAAAAAAUUAAUUUGCAAAAUGUGAGAGAUGUUUUGAAAUUUUUUUUUAUUGGAUUUGGCUUUGAAUUAUCUAUGGGUUUGUGUUGGGAAAUUAGGAAACUUGGGUAUCUAGAGAAUUUUGGGUUUGGGUUUGGGUUUGGCUUGUGUAUGAGUAAUCAUGUGGCUUGCUGAAGAUUUGACAUUCAUUCAAGUUGAAGUGGAAGAAUUUUAUGCAUGACUUGUUUAUUUUUCAAAAAAGUGGUCUUCUGCUAUCUAAAGUAAUUAAGUUCGUGUCUUCCUUUCAAGCAUUCAUUGCGAGCGUGCUAUGUUAUGUAACCAUGGACGGUGAAUGGAGAAAGUGAGAAGCAUUUGUUCAAGGCUAAGAAGCAAGAGUUUGGCGUGGCUGAUUAACAAGCAGAAGAUCCGUGGGUGGGGCCCUGGACCAGGUUCAUCCAAGUUUUUGCCAUAUAUAAUAAUACACUUAUGGUUAGGGGUGGCAAUUUUCGACACGACCUGAAAACAUGACAUGAAUCUAACACGAAAUUAAUGGGUUUGGAUUGAAAUUUCGUGGGUUCGGGUCAGAAUCGAGUUGAACCUGAAAAGAAAACGGGUCGAAUUCGGGUCAAUCCGUGGGUAAUCCAAUAUGACCCAAUAAUCUGUUUACGAAUUAAAAAUAAUUUAAUAAACAAAAAAAUUAUUUUAUCUAACUAAACUAAGUUAUUCUUUUUUUCCAAAGGUAUUAAUCACUUAAUCCUAAAUGAAUUUAUUUGACUUGUGUGAAGUUGAAAUUAUUAUAUUUGGACAAAUAAUGUAUUAUAUUAUUUUUUACUUUUAUACUGUUUUAAUUUAUUUUAUAUUUGGUUUGGGAUAAAACACUUUUACGAUGUUUUAAUUUAUUUUAGAUUUGGUUUGAAAUUAUUUAUUUAAAAUUUUAUUACUUGAUUAUGUAAUUAAUCUUGUACGAAAUUGGUUUUAUUAGAAAUUACAGUGGUAAAUUAAUAAAUUAAAUUAAGUUUCGGGUCAUUUCGGAUCGAUCCACUAACCCGAAAAUUUUGGAUUUGGGUUUGGUAUCCUGACCCAUUUCGAGUUGGCAAGUCAGGUUUGAAUCAGCGAGUUUUCUGUUAUUCUCGGAUCUCAACCUGACCUGUCAACCCAAUUUAGACCCGAUUGCUACCCCUAUUUAUGGCGCUUGCAAAAACCACUUGCCCGACAAAUUUGAAACUUUGAACUUUCUCUGCCCUUCUGCCCAUUUGGCGUUUCUUAUAAUCCAAGACAGUUUUUUGGAGCCCCCUUUUUAAGUUCGUUUGGAGCCAUUGAAUCUAGUAGAUUGAAUCAUUUCUGUCUGCUAGUCCCAUUUGGCCUUUCUCAGUUAAGUUGAUGUGACUAUCAGUUCAGGUUUUCAUCAUCUUUAUGCUCAAGCAAAUGGGAUUUUGGUCAAGUGUGAACUUCAUGAAUUUAUGCACACAAGUGUCUCGUUCUGUAGUAACCGACAAAUUUGAUAUCAUUGGACAUCUCAUAGUAUGGAUAAGUACUUAGGCUAUUAUUAAAUAAUUAGUGAGGAUUAAUUUUACUUUUCGCUUCCUAACUUGUGAUCUCAUUUUCACUUUGUAUGUUAAAUCCUCAUUUAGAUACAUUACAUUCUAAGUCUUCAAAUUUAUCAUAUUUUAUUCAAUUGUUGACAAUGUUAAGAAAAUUAAUGAAACUUUUGUAUGUGCAGACGACACACAUAUUAAUCAGCCUGUCAAAUUCAACUUGUUAUCCCUUACUGAUCUCACAAUUGUUCAAAGUUGUGUCAAAAGAUAUUAGAACUUUUGCCCACAAAAUCUUAACGAAGGGUCAACUGAGAUUCCCCCUCCUUUUCGGUCAACAAGUAAGUGAAAGUUGAUGUGUACAGUUAUAGUCUCAUAGAGAAAAUCAGAAAACAUGAGUUCCUUUAAGCAUCACAUUUUGUAUCUGAAUUGAACAUUCAAAUGAUAAUUUCUGGUUCUUACAGAAUUACUGUUACCUUUUCUGCAAUAACAUAAGCAUCUGUUUAAACUAUGUGUGAAAAAAAAUUAUGCUUUACGUUCAUGGUAACGCGUUAGACAUCAAUAUGCAAGCAGCAUAAAUACAAUGAAGAAAUAUCAAAUAGCCAAGAACAAACUUCGAAUAUAUAUCAAACACUUACAGUGAAAAAGAAGGAUCAGCUUCUUAUGAAAACAACAAUACAGAUAUACAAUACAUGAAUAAGCAAGGAUUCAUACACCACUUUUAUUUGUUCACAGUAAAUGGAGAAUAAAACACUCAAAGUUUGUAGGAAUGAUAAUACAACACAAGCAGAUACACACUAAUAAGCAAUUGUGUUCAGGUUUAACCCUACACAUUUUCCUCAGCACUAAUCCAAAGAAGAUCAAUUUGUGUCAUCCAGUGGCAUGCUUCACCUUUUCCCGGGGAGAGCUUGAGUAUCUUGAAUGCUGCAUGAUAUGAUGGCCAUGCAGAGGUAUCCAUAUGGCAUAUUGCUAAGAUUGUAUUGACUGGAACUUUUGUUUUAGGUUCAACUACAUCCACUGCAUAGAUUUC